UUCUGUGGAUGAUGAGAAAAUUUUGAAAUCAGUUAUCCCUGGCUGAUUUUUCGUUGUUUAUGAUGACAUCUUGUGAUCUGACACAGAC
Non-coding RNA from Gossypium hirsutum (cotton), 88 nucleotides. Lineage: Eukaryota; Viridiplantae; Streptophyta; Magnoliopsida; Malvales; Malvaceae. The record is from Rfam.